RNAcentral lists this long non-coding RNA (1507 nucleotides) under Rhinopithecus bieti (black snub-nosed monkey). RNAcentral describes it as "lncRNA (ENSRBIG00000046283.1)". Lineage: Eukaryota; Metazoa; Chordata; Mammalia; Primates; Cercopithecidae. The record is from RNAcentral.
GGGACCAUGGGCGGCUUAUGUUCCACGAUUUUGAGGCCAUUUGCAGCGAGCUCCGCCAGCCUGCCCCUCCCCUGCAGCCGCCACCACCGGCACAGCACCGCCACCAGUGUCUUCGGGGCUUUCUUCAGAGGAGACUGUCAGCAUCCUCAAGUUCCAGGUGCUCUGGCCCCAGUCCUGCUUCUUGACGCUUUUUGCCAGGGGCUGCCUCCCCUUCUCAAUGGCCUGAACCUUGGCCAGUUCCCACAAAGUUUGACGGGAACACAAGGCUGUCACUGACAUUUGUGGCACUAUAACUUACAGGCACGCGUGUUGCACACAUCGGACACUGUGCCACAUGCAGUGACACCAUCUGAGGUGCGCACGCCGCACGCGCACCCCGCACGCGCACGCCGCACCGUCUUGGCUUGGCGUUCUGCACACGCGUGUGUAACGGCUUGGGUUGGCGUUCCUCGCUUGGCUUGGUGUUGGUCGCUUGACUUGACGUUCCUUGCUUGGCUUGGCAUUGGUCGCUUUGCUUCCUGGUCCUUGCGUGGAUUGGCGUUUCCUCCCUCGGCAUUCCUUUGCUGGGCUUGACCUUUCCUUGGCUGGGCUUGGCAUUCCCCUGGCUGGGCUGGGUGUUUCCUUGGCGGGUGGGUGGAGGGGCUUGGCCUUUCCCCGGGUGGGUGUGGGCUUUCCCCCGGGGUGGGAGUGGGAUUUUCCCAGGUGGGUGUGGCCUUGCAAAUACUGCUGGGCUUGGCCUCUCCUCGCCUGGGCUGGGCUCCACUGCUUUGGUGGGUUUUGGCUGUGCUUGACCUUUCUCCUGUAACAGAUUGGAAACCUAGAGUAUCUUGCUUGUUGGUGAAAUUUGUUGGCAGAGGUGAUUGGCUGGCUACUACCUGGCUCCCCAGGCUGGUAAAAGAGGAUGGGGGCUGAGGUUUCUUCAAAGCCGGCUGCCUCUACUAUGAAGAAGCCUUUUGGCCUCAGCAGCAAGAUGGGCAAGUGGUGCUGCCACUGCUUCCCCUCCUGCAGGGGGAGUAGCAAGAACAACGUAGACUCUGGGGGAGACCACGACGACAUCGCCUUUUUGGAGCCAAGGACUGCUCUACAUUUGGCCUGUGGGAAUUCAGAAGUAGUAAAACUCCUGCUGGAUAGAAAAUGUCAACUUCAUGUCUUUGACAGCAAAAAGAGGACAGCUCUAAUAAAGGCUGUACAAUGUGCAAUACUUUUGCUACGACGUGGUAUUGAUCCAAAUCUUCCGGAUGUGUAUGGCAAUACUGCCCUACACUAUGCUGUCUACAGUGAAGAUAGAUUAAUGCAAUUAGCAAUUAAACACUGCUUUUAUACAAUGCUGAUAUCAAAUCAAAAAACAAGGUAUAGAUCUAAUUUUAUUUUCAAAAUACCCAAUGCAUUUAUUUUAACAUUGACCUGUGUAAGGGCCAGUUUUCUAUAUUUGGAAGCUCAAGUAUAACCUGAAUGAAAAUAUUUUGAAAUGACUUAAUUAUCUAAGACUUUAUUUUAAAUAUUGUCA